This 1373-nucleotide long non-coding RNA is filed under the name Anas platyrhynchos platyrhynchos (common mallard). Its description in RNAcentral is "lncRNA (ENSAPLG00000023631.1)". Lineage: Eukaryota; Metazoa; Chordata; Aves; Anseriformes; Anatidae. The record is from RNAcentral.
AUGGAGGUCCUGCUGUGGGGCUGGUGCAGUGGGAAAUGCAGUGGGGGAAACCUGGGGGUGCACGGCUGGGGCAGAUGGUGCCUGGGGGUGAUGGCUGUGGGCAGCCCAGCUGGGGAGGCUGCUGAGGGAGUUGGGGAGCUUCAGCCUUCAUCCCCCAGCCCCGAGAUGGGAGCCAGGGCUGGGCAGCACCUUGGCCUGUGCACCCCAGCCCCUGUUCUUCUUGCAGGUGCCUGCAGAGCGAGAUGCCCAAGGCAGCAGCACGUUGACAGCCCACAAGAAGAAGACACCAACAACGACAAUAUUCAGUCAGGAUCACAAUCCAGAUCAGAGGAGGAAGAAAUACCUUGCAAAGCAUCUCACCCUUCUGUCGGUACGAACAUUUCCCAAAGCUGCGAAACCAGAGAAUGCAGGUGGGCUGGGACGACAAGCUCAGGCCAAGUGUAAUUAAAGCUGGACACAAAAAAUAGGUAAGAACAUAUAAAAUCUUUAAUGUUGUCCAUCGAGGGCAUUUAAAUUCAGUCUCCAUUAUUUCUUCAACUAUGAGCAGAAUCAUGGCACUAAGCGGUAGAGACAACACAUUAGAAUUAUUUUUCCAAUAUUUCAUAAAUUCCUUUCUGGCUGGCAUUUUGUUCAGCAGCCAAUACUGCCCCAACUUGGGAGGACUAAGGAAGUCUUCUAUGCUUCCAUCUCACCCAGUUUUUCUUCUUACACACUUCUUGUAGCCGUUUCUACAAAUGAUUAGCAGCAGACCAGAAGUGAAAAUGAAACCACACUGCAUAUCCACCAAUGAUCUGACUUUGUAGGUUUUUUAACUUGUGCUUUUUGCUUGCCAGUUUAACGGCUGAUUUAUCUAAACCAAAGCCAGAGGAACAAAAGCACUGAGGAAAGAGGCAAAAGGACUUGGGGAGUGGCAGCGUAAGCUGGUUGCAGAUGACUGGGACAGUGCUGAUCACAAAGAACCUGGAAAAAUGCUUGGGGCUGCAUGCAGCCUCUGCACAGCUCUGUGUGGUCUUUGAGUUUCCUUCUCUCUGGCGCAAUCUCAUAGCGAUGAUGGGAUUUCUACACGGAUCCCAAAUUCCUCAAAACUGCAUGGAAAUUAUUUUACACAGGGGCAGAUGAUACUUCAACAAAUACUUAUAGAGUAUUAUGUAUAUAAUACAUGUAUAAUACAGUAUAAAAUAUUAAGGAGAGCCCCUGCAGGAGCAGGGGUUCUGGGGGGAGCUGCUGCCUGUGGGGGACUCAUGAUGGAGCAGAUCUUGAAGAUGGGGGGGGGGGGGGGGGAAAGGUGUUUUCAGUUUGGUUUUAGUUUCUCACUGCUCUAGUCUGUUAUCAAUAGGCAAUAAAUUACAUUGACCUCCCUUGUGCUGAGUCCA